CAGCAUAUACUGAGGGAGGGCAACCAAUUAGCAGAUCAUCUUGCAAACCAUGCAAUUAAUAUAGGGGAAUUCAUUUUUAUAAGUUUUCAGCAACUACAAUCCAAAGAAAAUAGAAUUCUAAACAGUGACAAGCUACAAUGUCGUUACAUGCAAAUUUCACCAUCGAGGGGGUAAGAGGGAUGCCCAGGCUAAAGCUUCAAUUGAACAAAACAAUAUGUACAAAAAUACAGUCACAAAAGUUGUACAAAGCUAUGUAGCCUAUCCUAUUACAUCCAGCAAAAGUACUCAUAGUGUAAAGGAAGGGUUUUAUUAGAUCUUUAAAUGAAACAUCUAAAGAGAUACAAAUAGAAUAACCACAUGUAGGUCCGAGCAUUUUGUUAUCUCCCUCCCAUCAGUUGGUACAAGAAGCAACAUAUUACUCAGAUCAUUGAACUGGAGAACAUGGAUCAGAAGAAGAUGAACAAAAUAAGGCUUACCUAUAUUUUGAUGUACUUUUAGGGUCUAAACCCUUCAAUCAAGCACCAAAAAUAUUUGAUAAUCCCAACAACCAGAGAGCAAAACUGUGAAAUCAAAAAUUGAUGACUAAAAACUUAAAAAUGGAGCAUUAAGUAAUGGAAAAGGGAAUAGGAUAAUUACUUCUGGUAGCUGAUAUGUGAGCUAGUCUAUAACAUGGCCAUGGUAUAGAAGUAAUGAUCCAUAACUUCUUCAAGAGGAAGCUUAAGUUCAUCAGUGGAGUCGACAACAUUGUUUCAAAUGGAGCUAAUGCGGCGGAUUUGAUUUAGGAAACACAAACCCUAUUUUUAAGGGUAUAGGUAAUAAACAAAACAGGUUGGGU
RNAcentral lists this long non-coding RNA (835 nucleotides) under Capsicum annuum. RNAcentral's name for it is "long non-coding RNA (CANN_LNC021744)". The record is from RNAcentral. Lineage: Eukaryota; Viridiplantae; Streptophyta; Magnoliopsida; Solanales; Solanaceae.